CUCUCAAGCUCAGGCUGUACAAAAAGAGUAUCCAGAGCCCUGUUAUGGUCCAAUUCAUAUGGAAUGGGUAAACUAUGGUUUGGUUACAAUUAAUGGGCUUUGGACCUUCAUUCUCUGUGCCCUCCUUUCCUAUGUCUUGUGGUUGGCUGAACGCAGGGAGGAAGAAACUUGGAACAUGAGGAGAACAGAGCAUGUGUAAACUCAGCAGCCAAGUCUAAGCAGGAACAUAUAGAUCAGGACAGGUUACUCUAGCAACACAGGUAAUGAAACCUACUUUUGAUUUGUCAUGGAAGUCAAGGAAGAGCCACCUGCUCAGAGACAGUUUUCCUGCUCUGAAAGAACCUUGUUACCCCCUCUCCCCUUUCCCUCUAGCCUGUUGCGUUGCCUUUACAAUAGCUAGAAUUCAACAGGGACUCUCUUGGAGUCCCUUAUGCAGUCAGUGAUGGCUGGUGGAGCAAAGCCAUUUCCUUUCUUGAAUGCACCAUAUGUAGACCAGCUUCAAAGAGCUAAAACUGAUUGUGUGAUGGCAUCUGCAAGGAGGAGAAAAGCACUGAAGAGCCUUGUAGCCCAUUAAUGGCCAAUUUAUUAUGGCAUAUGCUUUUGUGGGUUAAAGUCUGGAAAAGAUUAUGUCAUAAUAUACAUAUUUUGUCUUUGAGUUGCAACAUACCUCUUCGUUUUUGCUGCCACAAAUUUAUAUGGCUAUCUUUUGGAAGUUCCUAGGAAGAGUUGCAAGAGUUGAAGCCUUUUCUUUUGUCCAAUGACAAGCAAAAGUGGCAGGGAAAAUGCAGUGAAACUUGUUCCUCUCUGUAUCCCUUUUGCAGUAUUCCAUCUUUUAGCUGCUGCUACAGAUUGCUCCUUUGGAGGGUUGCCUGGUGCUAACCAUAGAAGGAGGUUUCUAAGUCUAUGAAAAACCAUUAUCACAGGAGGAUAUGUAGAUGUGGUUGCAUAUAGAAUCUAGGUGGAAGGACAUCUUUUUAAGAAAACGGGAGAUUUUUUUUCUAGAGUUCUUUCAAAUGAUAUAUAAAGGGAAAGAGGGAACAUACUUGUGCUUCUUUGUCUUGUCAGAAAUCAGUUUUGUGCUUCUUCCUAGGCAGUUUCAGGCAAGAUGGAAAAGCACAGGUUGGUGGCACUUCAUGUACUUUCUGCUUAUUGUCCUGUCAAAAAAUAAAAACAAAACCCUCAGUGCAAUAUCACUAGCAGUUUUGUUUGUUAGUCAGUGCAUACUUGUUGUAUCACAAAGCUUUGUUUUGUUCAGCCAGUCAAAGCAUCCAGAAAAAUAUUUUGUACAGAUAACUCCCCAAAAUGGAAAAGCAGACUACUCUGUGCAUACAGCUGACAUUGUAUAACUUCACAAGUGUUCUUAUGCUCACCUUUCAAUACCUUACUACAUCCAGUAAAAUUACGAUCAGAAGGGCUCAGCACAAUAAAGCAUUUGCAUUGUAUGUGGCGCUUCAGUCAGUGGAGUCCCACCUUCAGUCAGUGGGGAGAGCGUAUGUAGAAGUGUUAGGAAAGGUCUCAGCACACUUUUUAUCUGAAGUAAUAUUUAUGCUGUUCCUCAGCCCAGCACCCACAAAAUUACAAUCUAAAAAGGACACAACUUACAAGGAAAAGGGAAUGUAGAGGGAAGCAAGGAGAAAUUAAUUCUUACAGCAGGGCUGGUGGGUUGGCUGUGUUCUCACUCACAUCUCCCUCAGCUCAUCCUGCUGGAAUGGCUCAGCAGACUGUACAAAGUUUUUAUGUUCAAACGUUUGCAGAAGAGUUGGCUGUAUUUUGUGAGGAUUCUGGUUAUUUUGCAAGUGGCUUGUUGGAAGCUUUUGCAAGAUUUAUUGUAGUGAAUGAAAUGGCAUGAUUUGCAUCUUCCCUGUUACAGAAAACCUCCAGCAAAACAAUUAAUUUGAAAAGUAAAGUAUGGACUAUAAAGUAGGUAAGCUAUAAAUGUUAGGGGUAAUAAUGGGGCACUUAUCUUGCCUUUUCUCUUCUAAGUAUUCAACAGUAGAGGAACCUAUGCAUAUGGAUAGGGCCAGGGUUAUAACAGAACCCCUCAAGGACACUGGCAUUCUGAAUUUUCAGGUCCUGUUAUGUUAGUAAUGGCUUCUCUCCUGUUCUGCUCAGGCAGAUGAUGACCAAAUUCUAGGUUUCCAUCAGACCUUUUUGUUGAAAAGCUUACAAGGUGCCUGGGUAUGCACCAAUGAAGUCUUCAGGCUAGCGCUCCACAAUGUUUAGCCUCUGGUCGCCUCCUACCUCUGAUCUUCGCAGUUCUCACAGAAGAGCUUCCCACUGACCAGAUGAUAUUUCUUCACCAAGAAUCUGUUUCCAGAUUGUCAUAUGUUUCUUAUCUUGAUGGCUUUCAGUAUCAUAGUGUAAUAGCAGUUUGUAAAGUUUUCCCAAUACAUGUAUAAUCUGCUGUAUAAUCAACUUUUCAAAACCUGUCAGACCUCUUAAGAUACCUUCUCCUGUUGUGUUUCCGCCUUUGGUCUUGAAAUCAAUAAACAAGCCAAUGUAUAUUUUUCCCUUCA
Long non-coding RNA from Varanus komodoensis (Komodo dragon), 2516 nucleotides. RefSeq lists it as uncharacterized. The record is from RefSeq and is a predicted model, not a curated record. Lineage: Eukaryota; Metazoa; Chordata; Lepidosauria; Squamata; Varanidae. The transcript is spliced from 2 exons.